RNAcentral lists this unclassified non-coding RNA (248 nucleotides) under uncultured fungus. RNAcentral describes it as "sequence contains ITS1". Lineage: Eukaryota; Fungi. The record is from RNAcentral.
GUUUAUGAUUAACAAUUUUCUUGUUAGGUUCAGUCAGAAUAGUCAAUUGUUGCCCAGUCCGUUAGGAAAGAGCACUGGGCAGGCCAAGAUUCUCCCGAGGGAAAAAAUAGCCAUGCCCAGGGCGGAUGAACCCCCCCAAAGGGAGGCCCACCCAUAAAAACAGUGCACAAGAUAAAAAGAAGAGAAAGCCCCCCAAAGAGAGCCCCCCCGCAUUUUUAAUGAUCCUUCCGCAGGUUCACCUACGGAAA